GACGAACGCUGGCGGCGUGCUUAACACAUGCAAGUCGAACGGAAAGGCCCUGCUUUUGCGGGGUGCUCGAGUGGCGAACGGGUGAGUAACACGUGAGUAACCUGCCCUUGACUUUGGGAUAACUUCAGGAAACUGGGGCUAAUACCGGAUAGGAGCUCCUGCGGCAUGGUGGGGGUUGGAAAGUUUCGGCGGUUGGGGAUGGACUCGCGGCUUAUCAGCUUGUUGGUGGGGUAGUGGCUUACCAAGGCUUUGACGGGUAGCCGGCCUGAGAGGGUGACCGGCCACAUUGGGACUGAGAUACGGCCCAGACUCCUACGGGAGGCAGCAGUGGGGAAUAUUGCACAAUGGGCGGAAGCCUGAUGCAGCAACGCCGCGUGCGGGAUGACGGCCUUCGGGUUGUAAACCGCUUUCGCCUGUGACGAAGCGUGAGUGACGGUAAUGGGUAAAGAAGCACCGGCUAACUACGUG
RNAcentral lists this ribosomal RNA (468 nucleotides) under uncultured bacterium. RNAcentral describes it as "partial 16S ribosomal RNA". It matches the Rfam family "Bacterial small subunit ribosomal RNA", at positions 28 to 507 of the family's 1533-position model. The record is from RNAcentral.